UUAAAGUAGUAAGGGCGCAGGGUGGAUGCCUUGGCACUAAGAGCCGAUGAAAGACGUGAUAAGCUGCGAAAAGCUUCGGGGAGGAGCACAUAUCCAAUGAUCCGGAGAUAUCUGAAUGGGGAAACCCGGCAGAGGAAACCUCUGUCAGCGUGCAGUGAAUACAUAGCUGUACGUGGGGAACCCGGGGAACUGAAACAUCUAAGUACCCGGAGGAAGAGAAAGAAAAUUUAUCGAUUUCCAAAGUAGCGGCGAGCGAAAUGGAAAGAGCCCAAACCGUGAUGCGUGCAUCGCGGGGUUCGGACUGCGUUGUGGCAGACGUAAGAUAGGAGAACGGACUGGGAAGUCCGGCCGGAGAGAGUGAAAGCCUCGUAUCCGAAAUCCCAAGUCGCCUAGCAGGAUCCAGAGUAGGACGAGACACGAGAAACCUUGUCUGAACGAGCGGGGACCACCCCGUAAGGCUAAAUACUUCUUAGUGACCGAUAGCGCAUAGUACUGUGAAGGAAAGGUGAAAAGUACCCCGGGAGGGGAGUGAAAGAGAACCUGAAACCCUGUGUCUACAAGCUGUGGGACCUCUUUAUAUGAGGGACUGCGUACUUUUUGUAGAACGGUCCGGCGAGUUGUGCGUACUGGCGAGGUUAAGGACUUAAGGUCUGGAGCCGAAGUGAAAGCAAGCGUUAAUAGCGCGUCAAGUCAGUGAGUGCAGACCCGAAACCGGGUGACCUAUCCAUGUCCAGGUUGAAGCUUCCGUAAGAGGAAGUGGAGGACCGAACCCACAUCCGUUGAAAAGGGUGGGGAUGAGGUGUGGAUAGCGGAGAAAUUCCAAUCGAACCCGGAGAUAGCUGGUUCUCCUCGAAAUAGCUUUAGGGCUAGCCUCGUUUUAGUCUGGUGGAGGUAGAGCACUGAAUUCCCAAGGGGGCGUCAAAGCUUACUAAGGGAUAUCAAACUCCGAAUGCCAUACAGAUGAUGAACGGGAGUCAGACUAUACGAGAUAAGUUGGAUAGUCAAAAGGGAAAGAGCCCAGACCUGCAGCUAAGGUCCCAAAGUGCAUGUUAAGUGGAAAAGGAUGUGGGAUCUCUAAGACAACUAGGAUGUUGGCUCAGAAGCAGCCAUUCAUUCAAAGAGUGCGUAACAGCUCACUAGUCGAGAGGUCCUGCGCCGAAAAUGUCCGGGGCUAAAACAUGCCACCGAAGCUCAGGAAUGACAUAGUCAUUGGUAGAGGAGCAUUCUUAACGCGAAGAAGCAGUACCGUAAGGAGCUGUGGAGUGCUAAGAAGAGAGAAUGCCGGAAUGAGUAGCGAGAACAAGGUGAGAAUCCUUGUGGCCGAAUAUCCAAGGUCUCCAGGGUAAAGCUGAUCUGCCCUGGGAAAGUCGGGACCUAAGGUCAGGCUGAAAAGCGUAGCCGAUGGACAACAGGUUGAUAUUCCUGUACCGCAUGGUAACAGAACUGUGGGGACACGGGAGGGAAACAUGGGCCGGAAAUGGAAAGUCCGGUACAAGCGAGGUAGUCGCACAGCAGGCAAAUCCGCUGUGCAUAAGACGAAGCCGUGAUGUGGAGCGAAAUGAAGUAGCGAAGCAUGUGCCCCCUCCUGUCGAGAAAAGCCGCUAUUGUUUGCCAUGCGCCCGUACCGUAAACCGACACAGGUGGAUGAGGAGAGAAUCCUAAGGCCGGCGGGAGAAGCAUUGUCAAGGAACUCGGCAAAAUGACCCCGUAACUUCGGGAGAAGGGGUGCCCACGCAAGUGGGCCGCAGAGAAUAGGCUCAAGCAACUGUUUAGCAAAAACACAGGUCUAUGCGAAACCGUAAGGUGAUGUAUAUGGGCUGACGCCUGCCCGGUGCUGGAAGGUUAAGAGGAGAGGUUAGCGCAAGCGAAGCUUUGAAUCCAAGCCCCAGUAAACGGCGGCCGUAACUAUAACGGUCCUAAGGUAGCGAAAUUCCUUGUCGGGUAAGUUCCGACCCGC
This 1957-nucleotide ribosomal RNA is filed under the name human gut metagenome. RNAcentral describes it as "bacterial LSU rRNA". It matches the Rfam family "Bacterial large subunit ribosomal RNA", at positions 1 to 1991 of the family's 2925-position model. The record is from RNAcentral.